UUGAAACCUAGUGAUGUAUGGAUUAGUGGCGGACGGGUGAGUAACGCGUGGAUAACCUGCCGUAUACAGGGGGAUAACACUUAGAAAUAGGUGCUAAUACCGCAUAAGCGCACGGUUCCGCAUGGAACAGUGUGAAAAACUCCGGUGGUAUACGAUGGAUCCGCGACUGAUUAGCCAGUUGGCGGGGUAACGGCCCACCAAAGCGACGAUCAGUAGCCGGCCUGAGAGGGUGAACGGCCACAUUGGGACUGAGACACGGCCCAAACUCCUACGGGAGGCAGCAGUGGGGAAUAUUGCACAAUGGGGGAAACCCUGAUGCAGCGACGCCGCGUGAGUGAAGAAGUAUUUCGGUACGUAAAGCUCUAUCAGCAGGGAAGAAAAAAAGUCCUUUGGACUUUGGACGGUACCUGACUAAGAAGCCCCGGCUAACUACGUGCCAGCAGCCGCGGUAAUACGUAGGGGGCAAGCGUUAUCCGGAUUUACUGGGUGUAAAGGGAGCGUAGACGGCAGCGCAAGUCUGGAGUGAAAUGCCGGGGCCCAACCCCGGAACUGCUUUGGAAACUGUGCAGCUGGAGUGCAGGAGAGGUAAGCGGAAUUCCUAGUGUAGCGGUGAAAUGCGUAGAUAUUAGGAGGAACACCAGUGGCGAAGGCGGCUUACUGGACUGUAACUGACGUUGAGGCUCGAAAGCGUGGGGAGCAAACAGGAUUAGAUACCCUGGUAGUCCACGCCGUAAACGAUGAUUACUAGGUGUCGGGGGGUCAAGGCCCUCCGGUGCCGCCGCAAAC
RNAcentral lists this ribosomal RNA (786 nucleotides) under uncultured bacterium. RNAcentral describes it as "bacterial SSU rRNA". It matches the Rfam family "Bacterial small subunit ribosomal RNA", at positions 70 to 856 of the family's 1533-position model. The record is from RNAcentral.